UGAUAGAUCUCCCUUCCCUUCAGCAAGAAUAAGUAAAGUUGCAAGCAAGAGAAGAAGAAAAAUGCAUUCUUGGUCAUUCCAUAACUCAAAAAACUGAAACCCUACAAAAUGAAUAGUUGGAGGCUUGGAAAUGUGUGUGGAUAGUCUCCCCUCAAAAUUGUCGAGAGAUACCCUAAAAAUGGUGGGGUCCACCUCUAAAGAAACCCUAGAGUUUAUGCCAAGUGUCCCACACAUUGGGCUUCUACAAUUUUUGCCACAAAAAGGGCCUAAUACACAAAAUACUAAUUAAAGUUCCUAAACAACUAAGUUACAAUUUAAUUAAAAUUGAAAUGACUAAAUGUAGAUUCUUUGAUGACCACGCCACCUCCUGAUGCUCCAAAAUAUGUCUCCAAUAUUUUCC
RNAcentral lists this long non-coding RNA (400 nucleotides) under Vigna radiata. RNAcentral's name for it is "long non-coding RNA (VRAD_LNC005338)". Lineage: Eukaryota; Viridiplantae; Streptophyta; Magnoliopsida; Fabales; Fabaceae. The record is from RNAcentral.